RNAcentral lists this transfer RNA (73 nucleotides) under Stegodyphus mimosarum. It matches the Rfam family "tRNA". From Rfam's summary of the family: Transfer RNA (tRNA) molecules are approximately 80 nucleotides in length. Lineage: Eukaryota; Metazoa; Arthropoda; Arachnida; Araneae; Eresidae. The record is from Rfam by way of RNAcentral.
GCCUUCGUGGUGUAGUGAUUACCACGCUCGACGUGUAACCGAGAGGUCCGUGGUUCGAUUCCCGGUGAGGGCG